Molecule: long non-coding RNA, 957 nt
Organism: Biomphalaria glabrata
Lineage: Eukaryota; Metazoa; Mollusca; Gastropoda; Planorbidae
Exons: 4
Source: RefSeq, a predicted model, not a curated record
UACGAUGUUACAGAGAUCUAGAUCUUAACUUUUCUCUUAACUACCAAAGAAGUACACAAAGGAUGUUGAAAGGUACCCAAAGGGCUCUAAUUGCUACCAUUCAAUGUGUGGAUUCAAGUAUUUACCCAGAUACUGCCACAAUAUGCUGUUAUUGUUUUCAAAGGAGUUUUCACACAGUGCCAGAAGCUGUAUAAAUACAUUUAACAAUGUAUAUUUCAAGAAGAAAUGAUGCUUUCUUAUUUCUAAGAGUUUAUCAAUAGGAUGAAUGCCACAAAACUCACUUGUUAUGCCAGAAACUCUUCCUACGAAACUUCCAUACUAGAAUUUGUCCAGUGCCUGUGAUCCUCUGAGUUGAAGGAGAAUGUGCUCCAUAAUACCUACUAGGAGCUUGCUGAUAGCUGGAAGUUCAUGAAUACUAUGUUGUCCUUGAUUUGAUGAUUCUGAAAACUACCAUUUCUGAAGACUUGAGCAUUAUUUCUAUAAUUUAAAAAAAUCUUUUCAGGAAAUAUUGUGUUUAUAAUAUUAAGAAAGUGAAGAUAAUAUUGUUCUUACUAAUAUUAUUGACUUAUUAAAAUAGAAAGCACAUCAUUACCAAUAUUCACUUGUCAAUAAAUGUUAGCAUUAUUCAUUUUUUAGUUACAUGUUCAAACUAUUAAAUUUUAUUAUUUAAAUUAUAGCAACUUUCUCUUUCAGUCCAGCUUAAGAUACAUUCCUGUAAAAAGUCUAUAAUAAUAAGUUAAUGUCGAUGUAGUAUUGUUCAGACACUUACAAGUUUAAUCAUCUAUACUUCACAAAAAAAAAGUGUUUGAAUGGUUUUCAUUUGUUUGUACAUCAAAUAUGUAUUAAUAUAAUUAUCAUUUUUAGAUGAAACAUUAAAUACUGAAGAUGACCAUUUCAAUUUCUGAUGUAGGCCUAUUCUCAUUUCAUGAAAUAAACAGAAUAUUAUCUGAAAUUUCA